UUUUUUUUUUAAAAUUUCAGUUGCCAAUUCCGAAUUUUGAGUUGAUAGAAUCGAGAGAGAAAUGAGCGACGAGAUGGUGAAGAAAGAGGCUAUGGAGAUCAUAGCUGAAUUCGAGGUGCUGCCUCGUCUCGUCGCCUUUGACCUUGAUUAUACUCUCUGGCCCUUCUACUGUGAAUAUCUCUCCAAGUGUGAAAUGCCAUCACUAUAUCCGCAUGCCAAAGGCAUACUGCAUGCUCUCAAGGAUAAAGGUAUUGAUAUCGCUGUUGCCUCUAGAUCACCAACUCCGGAUAAAGCCAACACAUUUCUUGAGAAGUUGGGAAUAAAAUCAUUUUUUGUUGCUCAGGAGAUAUUCUCGAGUUGGACCCACAAGACCGAUCAUUUUCAGAAACUGAAGCAGAGGACUGGUGUUCCAUACAAUGAGAUGCUCUUUUUUGAUGAUGAAGAUCGCAACAUACAAGCAGUAUCGAAAAUGAGUGUUACGAGUAUUUUGGUGGACGAUGGUGUCGAUCUCGGAGCUUUGAGGCAGGGGCUCACUAAGUUCUCUCAAAAUAGGUCGGCAUUGGAAAAGAACAAGCAAAGAUGGCAGAAUUUUUCAAAGAAACCGACUUCUUCAGAAAAUCAGCAAUGAUUUCCCGAUCCAAUUUUAAAGAACUGCGUACCUGCAAUGACAUUUUUCAGCUCUGCAGCCUUCAGCCUCAACUGCUCACCUUCAUCUUCUACAAGAACUCGUCUUAUGGAAUCAGCAACGACGUCCCGGCUAAAAGAACUAUCUUUGUUCCUGGGAACUUCAUAUCCAGCUUGGUUUUCCACUAUCAGCUUAGCAGUGAGUCCUUGGUCUGAUAUAAAGGGGAGAAGAAUUAGUGGGUGACCAUGAGCAAGAGAUUCAAUACAUGUUCCCCAGCCUGAGUGGAAAAAACAUCCUCCGAUUGCUGGAUGGGCGAGUAUUUUUUGUUGAGGCGCCCAACCGAGAACAACGAGACCCUGGCUCUGAGUACGGCUGGCAAAACCAGGAGGCAGUAAAUCUGAGCUAUCCACACCUUGUGGCUUCCUCAGAAUCCAGAGGAAAGCCAUUUGCAGGUUUCAGGCCAGCUUGAGUCGGUUGAUACAUGCUCGCUCUCUUCAGUAAUCGGAGGAAGUAAGCCAACAGGUAAAACUGGCUUCCUAUAUAGUUCUCGAAUUAUAUUCAAGUACUUGCCCUCAAAGUCCUCGCAGCUUCUCACCAAAAUAAAGCUGCUUUCCUCGAUAACCUUUCCUAUACGUUGGCCGCUGGACACUCCCUCCGCAUUCUCCUUCGUGUGUGGUUUGGUGUCGCUUUUUGGACUGGGAAGUUGCUUCCCACCCUUGAGCUCUGCUGGUGACCCCAUGUAGGCCAACAUGUAAGCUGAAGACACGCUGAAAAACGCAGUGCUAACGCCGUACUUGACAGCAACUUCUGAAAUUCUGUAUGCAGCAAAGUCAACAACUAUCAGAUCUGGAAUUGCCUUCUGAAGCAGAUGCUCGAAUGGCUCAGCUAACGUGUCGUAUGCUUUCUUCAGGAACGGCAUUUGUGCAGGCUGGAUAUCUAUGCUGGCCUCACAAUUCUCCGGUAGUCCGUCAACCGGCUGCAUUUGGAUCUCGAGAAGCUCCAUCUUGGCUGCUAAAGAUGAUGGGAUGGGAGGAAGUCUCUGCAGGUUUCGUGGGGUGGAAACAUAUGAAACAAAGAUCCCUUUUGCUGCGAAUUGCUUCGAUAACUCAAAGAAGGGUAACAUGUGGCCAAAUGCCAGCCAUGGAAACA
Non-coding RNA from Salvia hispanica, 1774 nucleotides. The record is from RefSeq and is a predicted model, not a curated record. Lineage: Eukaryota; Viridiplantae; Streptophyta; Magnoliopsida; Lamiales; Lamiaceae.